GGCGAAUCAGUGGCCGCUAACACUAAUUAAAAGUAUAUAAAAAAAUCCACUCCUAUUAUUAAAUGAAAAAAAAUCACAGAUUGGUGUAGGUCUUCUUCUCCUUGCUCGUUGCUCUCUAAAACUUUUCCCACUCAAUUUCCUCUCUUAUCAAAUCUCUCGAAUCUAACUGCUCAAAUCACAAAUUGUGACCCAUCUGAUAGCAAAGCAAAAGCCCUAAUCAAAAAAUGUGACUCCAUCAGGUAUGUGCUCUAAUCUUAAACUCAAAUUCCUUUUCGGUGGUAUAUACAGUUAGCGAGAAUGAUAAUUUCAACGAUUUCACAUAGGAUUUUCACAGACUUCACCUAUAAUUUCUCUGACCCAGUUGAAAAACUAUAGGAACGAAAAGAAAUUCAUACAAUAACAAUCCAUGGUGAGGAGUCAGCGGGGAUUUUGGGUUUUCAGUCUGAUGCUCAACUUUUCUCGGCCUCCGAAAAAAAUUAGUAAACUAUUUUUUGAUCCGCUGUCUUGAUAACACUCUCCAAUCUCUCCCUAUCUCUUUCUCUAGCAAAAUCGAGUAGUAAUUCUGUAUUAAUCAUAAAAGUUGGGUUGUUCUUUUCUUGGUAGCAGAAGCACGAACAUUCGUAGUUUUUGGGUUUUUUUUUUUUUUUUUUUUUUAGGGUUAUUGUUGUUUCAGUUUGUUCUGUUAGUAGAGAAAGGAACUAAGAGUAUUUGUAUUGGCGGAAAGAGGAGGAAUAAAAGUUCAGGUAGUGAUUGAGAGAACAUUGAAGGAAAUAUCAAAUGGUAAUUUUGUUCUUGACAUGAAGAAUAAAUGUGGUGUUGGAGGUAUUGAGGUUAUGUUUUUAGAAGAUAGAGCUACUGAAGAUUAGCCUAUCACCCCAUGAACCUUUUCUGUUGCCAGGUAAUCCAAACUAUUUGUUGACUAAUUCUUUGAUUGUCUAGCUUUCGCUUAACGUUGCUAUGGACUGUGUUAACUUUUCCUGCUAUACCCCAAAAGAAUAUGAUAGUGCUUCAUAUUUAAUUGUGCAAUAUUUAGUUAUCUAUAAACUAAAAUAGUGGGAUGUAAUGUGUAGUUGAAAAUAGUGUUAUUAUCCUCUUUUUUCUUUAGAUUAAGUUCUAUUCAGUUAGUUUCCUGCUCCAGGAGAACCAUUUAGUUAUCAUUGAUUUAUGCAGCUGGAUUUAUUAAUUAAUGGGUGUUUGGUUAUGAAAAUAAUUGAUUUAGUUUAUGUGAAGUUGUCAACUAUUAGUCCUUCUUGACAGUCAUCUUUAUAGAGUUGUGUUGAUAUAACUUUUUAUGGGAUUCACACUACAACAAAGGACUUGCCUUCCCUGUGGUGGAGAGAGAUGCUAUCACGCGACCUUCUACCUCAUAAUUCUUCAGGUCAAGAACUUGCCUUCUCUGUUUCAAGCCAAGAACUUCAGGUCAUUUCAUAAUUCUUGACUUAUAACCUUGAGUUCGUUCUUCCAUUUCCACUCAUAAUAAGACUGGUAAUAUUUUCUGUCAAAUAUCAGGAGAAGAAAUUAAUGCACAAUUUCUUUCAAUAUUAAGUUUCCUCGUAAGGAUACAUGGCUAUGUGGUUCUUCAGGUAGUCUUACCUCUCACUAUAGCAGUGAAAAUUUCACAUCAUGUUCAUUAUAUGAACUUAAAUGGAGUUGGUAUGAGGUUAGAGAUAGCAUGGUUAUAUUGUCCAUCACGUUAAUGGAAUUACCUUGUAGCAUGGCUAUAUGGUCAUAUAUGUUUAAUUUUCUCGUUCUCCUUUUUAUUUUAUCAUGUUUUUUCCUUUUUGUGCCCUCUAGAACAAAUGAUUUAAGCUCCCAUUUUUGUCAAUUGUACAUUUAAAAUCCUUUUACAGUAAGUCUAAGGGAAUACAAUUCCAUUAAAAUAUUACUUGACUAUUCUAUGUUAUUUCAUGAUGAGUCUACUUUGUCACCAGACCAAUGGGUGAUUUUAUGUCUAUGCUGCUAAAAUUCUGCUGAUAACGUAUUAUUCCAAUGCUCGGGAAAGAAAUAAAAAGUUAUCUUACAAGUUUCUUAUCGAUUAUUCCAUGUGCUGGAACUUUUUAUCCAAGUCAUUAUUGUUACUGAUGGAGAGCGAAUAUUACGACGUGGUAAUCUUGGUUGUCAGGUAAAUCUUUUAAAUUCUACUAGCUAUUAGAUUUGUUUUCUAAUAGUGUGUUAUUUGAACAAUUGGAUGGAACUAAUUAGAGAGACAAUACUGACUAUCUCUUACUUUACUUGUACACGGUACCAUGUUGAUAACAUACUUGACCGAAAGUUCCAAUGUAGUUUCAGGGAAUUAUUAUAGUGCUCUUGGAGGUGUUCGUCCCUCAUCCUGAUUAUGGGUGAGGCUCUUAAUCAAUCACAAUUGUUGUCGACCAUGGAGGAGUUUGAAGGCCCUAAAUCAUAGUUAUUAUUUUUCUUAUCAUAUGUAUAUGAAUACAAUGACAAUGAACGAUGAAGUAUUGUGUAAUACAAAUUAAUUGAUAUUUUGGUAAUGGAAGUAUAUAUAAUAUUCAGUUUGAGAAAUA
Nicotiana tabacum (common tobacco) is the source of this 2525-nucleotide long non-coding RNA. RefSeq lists it as uncharacterized. The record is from RefSeq and is a predicted model, not a curated record. NCBI's taxonomy places the organism in Eukaryota, Viridiplantae, Streptophyta, Magnoliopsida, Solanales, Solanaceae.